Molecule: long non-coding RNA, 862 nt
Organism: Oryzias melastigma (Indian medaka)
Lineage: Eukaryota; Metazoa; Chordata; Actinopteri; Beloniformes; Adrianichthyidae
Exons: 3
Source: RefSeq, a predicted model, not a curated record
GGAGGCCUGGAGGUGAACGCCGCCCUCUCCCCUUCAGAAGUGCAUUACUUCUCUCCUUAAUGGUCGUGGCUGAUGGCGAGCGACUCCUGCAGGGGCCACCACUGUUGUGAGUGUGAUCAAUGACGAGGCUGUGGUAAAGAUCCAACCCUCUGGGGCCAGGCGUCAUAAACUCGGGUCUAAAUUUGAAGAAGUGGGACAGCAGACGGAUGUGGACGUUUGCCAGGGCCGUGCUGCUGCGACCGAGAAAGUGAUGACUCAGCAGAAACCCCCUUCGGACCACAGAGAUGAGCUCAUGUGCACGUUGACAGACUAAUCCUAACCUGAAACUCCAGGGUUCGGGUGAUUGCAGCGUGCUCUGCGGGUUGCGUCAUACCUGAACAGUCUCGAGCAGAACCUCGGAGGCUCGGCGCCGAGUUGAAACACACUUUAAGCCAGAAAAAAGCGGUGCUUGCCAGCGUGCCACAGAGCCCUGGUGUAGGUGUUGCAGCACGAGUGUGGGUUUCAUCUGCUCGCCCGGAGGGAUCGAAAGCCAAGAAAAACUGCAGGAGCUUCGAGUUUUAGUGAAAAAUGACAUACAAGCAUCAAGAUAAACAUGAUACUUGAUUUUCUCUGUCUGUCCUUCACCUAAGCAAGCUCUUCGGGUACAGGGAAAUGGGUGAAAAAUCCCCCCCAAAAAACUACCCAGACUGUUGAAAACUCUGAAACAAGACAAAUUCUGAGAGAAAAACAAGGAGCAAAUGAUUACGAAAGCAGGAGGUGACAGGAACCAACAAAGCAGGAGCUGCUGGAAACAUCACGACCAUCAGACUCCAAAUCCAGGGUUCUCAUAAUUCUACUUCUAUACAAAAUGACAUGUGUAAGA